Molecule: ribosomal RNA, 468 nt
Filed under: uncultured bacterium
Lineage: Bacteria
Description: partial 16S ribosomal RNA
Rfam family: Bacterial small subunit ribosomal RNA
Source: RNAcentral
GACGAACGCUGGCGGCGUGCUUAACACAUGCAAGUCGAACGAUGACGACCGAGCUUGCUCGGUCUGAUUAGUGGCGAACGGGUGAGUAACACGUGAGCAACCUGCCCUUCACUCUGGGAUAACCUCGGGAAAUCGGGGCUAAUACCGGAUAUGAGCUCCUGUCGCAUGGCGGGUGUUGGAAAGUUUUUCGGUGAAGGAUGGGCUCGCGGCCUAUCAGUUUGUUGGUGAGGUAGUGGCUCACCAAGGCGAUGACGGGUAGCCGGCCUGAGAGGGCGACCGGCCACACUGGGACUGAGACACGGCCCAGACUCCUACGGGAGGCAGCAGUGGGGAAUAUUGCACAAUGGGCGAAAGCCUGAUGCAGCGACGCCGCGUGAGGGAUGACGGCCUUCGGGUUGUAAACCUCUUUCAGCAGGGAAGAAGCGAAAGUGACGGUACCUGCAGAAGAAGCACCGGCUAACUACGUGC